Molecule: ribosomal RNA, 235 nt
Filed under: uncultured bacterium
Lineage: Bacteria
Description: partial 16S ribosomal RNA
Rfam family: Bacterial small subunit ribosomal RNA
Source: RNAcentral
AUUGAACGCUGGCGGCAUGCCUUACACAUGCAAGUCGAGCGGCAGCGCGGGGGCAACCCUGGCGGCGAGCGGCGUACGGGUGAGUAAUGCAUCGGAACGUGUCCUCUUGUGGGGGAUAACCAGUCGAAAGACUGGCUGAUACCGCAUGAGAUCGCAAGAUGAAAGCAGGGGACCCGCAAGGGCCUUGCGCGAGAGGAGCGGCCGAUGCCCGAUAGCUAGUUGGCGGGGGUAAAAG